CCUACGGGAGGCAGCAGUGAGGAAUAUUGGUCAAUGGGCUUACGCCUGAACCAGCCAAGUCGCGUGAGGGAUGAAGGUUCUAUGGAUCGUAAACCUCUUUUAUAAGGGAAUAAAGUGUGGGACGUGUCCUGUAUUGUAUGUACCUUAUGAAUCAGGAUCGGCUAACUCCGUGCCAGCAGCCGCGGUAAUCCGGAGGAUCCGCGCGUUAUCCGGAUUUAUUGGGUUUAAAGGGUGCGUAGGCGGGCUUUUAAGUCAGUUGUGAAAGUCUGUGGCGCAACCAUAGAAUUGCCGUUGAAACUGGGAGGCUUGAGUAUGUGUGAGGCAGGCGGAAGUCGUGGUGUAGCGGUGAAAUGCUGAGAUAUCACGCAGAACCCCGAUUGCGAAGGCAGCCUGCCAAGCCAUGACUGACGCUGAUGCACGAAAGCGUGGGGAUCAAACAGGAUUAGAUACCCCUGUAGUC
RNAcentral lists this ribosomal RNA (460 nucleotides) under uncultured bacterium. RNAcentral describes it as "partial 16S ribosomal RNA". It matches the Rfam family "Bacterial small subunit ribosomal RNA", at positions 338 to 795 of the family's 1533-position model. The record is from RNAcentral.